RNAcentral lists this ribosomal RNA (222 nucleotides) under uncultured bacterium. RNAcentral describes it as "partial 16S ribosomal RNA". It matches the Rfam family "Bacterial small subunit ribosomal RNA", at positions 328 to 539 of the family's 1533-position model. The record is from RNAcentral.
ACGCUCGACACCUACGGGAGCAGCAGUAGGGAAUCUUCCACAAUGGACGCAAGUCUGAUGGAGCAACGCCGCGUGAGUGAAGAAGGUCUUCGGAUCGUAAAACUCUGUUGUUAGAGAAGAACACGAGUGAGAGUAACUGUUCAUUCGAUGACGGUAUCUAACCAGCAAGUCACGGCUAACUACGUGCCAGCAGCUGCGGUAAUCUGAGCGGGCUGGCAAGGC